GACAAACCGUGCGAACGUUGUUCGGAUUCACUGGGCUUAAAGGGCGCGUAGGCGGGUGACCAAGUCCGGGGUGAAAUCUUUCGGCUCAACCGGAAAAGUGCCUUGGAUACUGGUCAUCUCGAGGGAGGUAGGGGCAUGCGGAACUUCCGGUGGAGCGGUGAAAUGCGUAGAUAUCGGAAGGAACGCCGGUGGCGAAAGCGGCGUGCUGGACCUCUUCUGACGCUGAGGCGCGAAAGCCAGGGGAGCGAACGGG
Molecule: ribosomal RNA, 253 nt
Filed under: uncultured bacterium
Lineage: Bacteria
Description: partial 16S ribosomal RNA
Rfam family: Bacterial small subunit ribosomal RNA
Source: RNAcentral